Molecule: long non-coding RNA, 958 nt
Organism: Bos taurus (domestic cattle)
Lineage: Eukaryota; Metazoa; Chordata; Mammalia; Artiodactyla; Bovidae
Source: Ensembl
GGGGUUUAAGUUCUUACGAAAUGGAUAUUUACCGUAAUCCAUUUAGCAAUUAGGAUUAUCUCCGUUUGUGGGAGCUUGGCAGGGAGAGGACGCAGCGGCCUGGACACUUUGCGGGAGAAAGAGGGAUGGCCCGAGGUUUCUAAAAGGAGGCACAUUCUUUACCAGCUGAGCCAUCAGGGAAACCCGAGAGACGGAACCACUUAAGAAGUCAGGGGCCGUCUUGGUGAGAGUGAUGCGAACUGCCUUGACAAAGACGCCGCAGAAUUUUGUCAACUUAUCGCAGCCGCAGCUGACUCCUCGUUUCAAUUACUCAUCCGUUCCAGGUGUUCCUGCUUGGGGAGAUUUCUUCCAAGUGGGCCUAACUGUAGAGCACAGAAAACUACAUUCAAUAGCCUGUAAUAACCUGUGAGUGGAAAAGAAUCUGAAAAAGCGUGUAUGUGUAACUGAAGCACUCUGCUCACGCUAGAAGCUAACCCAACGAUGUGAAUCUACCAUGUAAGUGCAGUGAAAAUGCAAGUGUCGGUCGCUCAGUCGUGUCCGACGCUCAGUCGUGUCCGACGCUUUGCGACCCCGUGGACUGUAGCCCCGCCGGGCUCCUCUGUCCGUGGAAUUCUCCAGGCAAGAAUGCCUGGAGGAGGGAGUGUCAUUCCCUCCUCCAGGGAUCCCUCAUCCUGAUCCAGGGAGAGAACCCAGCUCUCCUGCAUUGCAGGCAGAUUCUGCACCCUCUGAGCCACAAUGGAUGCCAACAUUAUAAAUAAAUGACACUUCAAUGUGAAAAAUUUUUUUAAAUGUGAAUCUCAUUCAGAAACACUCUAUACCAGACACACGUAGAAUCAUGUUUUACCAAAUAUCUGGGCACUUUGUGGGCCCAUCAAGACACAGAAAAGUAACCUUCAUAAUGUGUGUGUGUGUGUGUGUGUGCAUCUUAUAAUGUGCUAAGCACCGAGCCAAAUAAAAG